Molecule: long non-coding RNA, 1001 nt
Organism: Prosopis cineraria
Lineage: Eukaryota; Viridiplantae; Streptophyta; Magnoliopsida; Fabales; Fabaceae
Exons: 2
Source: RefSeq, a predicted model, not a curated record
UUGAAUCCUGAAACCCAAACACCGUUUCUGCAAGUGAAAUUAUUGAAUUGAUAGAACCUAGCUGUUUAGAUAUAUAAUCUAGGUUUUCAUGUUUUCGCAACAAAAUGGGGGGCACUGGCUAGAUAUGGUCCUACUUGUAGAAAAAGCAGAUCUAGAAAUUGAGGCCUGUGGGGUAUACUCUACAGCAAAAAGGUCCUGAGAAAGUGAUAAAGGGUUAAACAGUUUCGCGGAGAUUGCAGGCCUGAGUAAUACUCAACCCUCCUGCGCUAUGUCCCACCAAUAUCACCUAUUUGAUAUGAUAAGCACUUUAAUUCAAUUCUGUAAAGAGACAGACAGAUAUGAAAUAAGAGGUGGGAGCGAGAUGAUGACCAACCUGUUCAUUCUCAGGCAAAGCGGACAUGAAAUCCAUGAGAGGCUGAUUGUACUCAUCAAAGGAAAGAAUAGAAUCGGCAUCAGAUCGAUCAAUUCCAGCACUCUUGAGGUCUAUGCAUGAGACCUUGUAGCCAGAAUUCUCCAUAAGGCACCGAAUUUUAUACCAGCACCAACCUCCUCCUCCUAUGCCAUGUACCAGAACGAAGUGCUGCUUCAAUGGAAUUGCUCCUGUUUCUGUCAUGCCGACCCCUUCCUCUCUCACAGUCGCAGGUAUGGCUUUCUCUGCGCUCACCAACAUUGCACUUACCUCUCAGCUUUUCUGCUUUGAGCUCUGUUGGUUAGGAUAUAUGCGGGGCAUAUGUGGGAUGAGAUAUUGUGAAUAGUCAGUCUCAUAGGGUCGUAACGUAUGGUUUUUACUUUGCCAGUGGGGUUACAGUCAACAUAUACCUCCAUUGAUUUUUUUUUUUUUUUUGGGGUGUCAUUUUGCAUCAUGAGAACUUCGGGAAUGUGAUUUGAAACGUAAUAAUUGCGGAGGAAUGUAGAUAAGUUGUAUAAAAACCUUAAUGUCAUGAUCAGUAUUAAUAUUAUAUAUGUAAGGCUUUUUAAGAUGAAGUUUUGCUUUCCCUGAA